Molecule: ribosomal RNA, 451 nt
Filed under: uncultured bacterium
Lineage: Bacteria
Description: partial 16S ribosomal RNA
Rfam family: Bacterial small subunit ribosomal RNA
Source: RNAcentral
GUGGGGAAUAUUGGACAAUGGGGGGAACCCUGAUCCAGCCAUGCCGCGUGUGUGAAGAAGGCCUUUUGGUUGUAAAGCACUUUAAGCGAGGAGGAGGCUACCGAGAUUAAUACUCUUGGAUAGUGGACGUUACUCGCAGAAUAAGCACCGGCUAACUCUGUGCCAGCAGCCGCGGUAAUACAGAGGGUGCAAGCGUUAAUCGGAUUUACUGGGCGUAAAGCGCGCGUAGGUGGCCAAUUAAGUCAAAUGUGAAAUCCCCGAGCUUAACUUGGGAAUUGCAUUCGAUACUGGUUGGCUAGGGUAUGGGAGAGGAUGGUAGAAUUCCAGGUGUAGCGGUGAAAUGCGUAGAGAUCUGGAGGAAUACCGAUGGCGAAGGCAGCCAUCUGGCCUAAUACUGACACUGAGGUGCGAAAGCAUGGGGAGCAAACAGGAUUAGAAACCCGAGUAGUCC